AUCCGGAUUUAUUGGGUUUAAAGGGUCUGUAGGCGGAUCUGUAAGUCAGUGGUGAAAUCUCACAGCUUAACUGUGAAUCUGCCAUUGAUACUGCAGGUCUUGAGUGUUAUUGAAGUAGCUGGAAUAAGUAGUGUAGCGGUGAAAUGCAUAGAUAUUACUUAGAGCACCACUCGCGAAGGCAGGUUACUAAGCAACAACUGACGCUGAUGGACGAAAGCGUGGGGAGCGAACAGGAUUAGAUACCCUGGUAGUCCACGCCGUAAACGAUGCUAACUCGUUUUUGGGCUUUUGGGCUCAGAGACUAAGCGAAAGUGAUAAGUUAGCCACCUGGGGAGUACGUUCGCAAGAAUGAAACUCAAAGGAAUUGACGGGGGCCCGCACAAGCGGUGGAUUAUGUGGUUUAAUUCGAUGAUACGCGAGGAACCUUACCAAGGCUUAAAUGGGAAAUGACAGGUUUAGAAAUAGACUUUUCUUCGGACAUUUUUCAAGGUGCUGCAUGGUUGUCGUCAGCUCGUGCCGUGAGGUGUUAGGUUAAGUCCUGCAACGAGCGCAACCCCUGUCACUAGUUGCCAUCAUUAAGUUGGGGACUCUAGUGAGACUGCCUACGCAAGUAGAGAGGAAGGUGGGGAUGACGUCAAAUCAUCACGGCCCUUACGCCUUGGGCCACACACGUAAUACAAUGGCCAGUACAGAGGGCAGCUACACAGCGAUGUGAUGCAAAUCUCGAAAGCUGGUCUCAGUUCGGAUUGGAGUCUGCAACUCGACUCUAUGAAGCUGGAAUCGAUAGUAAUCGCGCAUCAGCCAUGGCGCGGUGAAUACGUUCCCGGGC
Molecule: ribosomal RNA, 829 nt
Filed under: Chryseobacterium lactis
Lineage: Bacteria; Pseudomonadati; Bacteroidota; Flavobacteriia; Flavobacteriales; Weeksellaceae
Description: bacterial SSU rRNA
Rfam family: Bacterial small subunit ribosomal RNA
Source: RNAcentral